This 497-nucleotide ribosomal RNA is filed under the name uncultured bacterium. RNAcentral describes it as "partial 16S ribosomal RNA". It matches the Rfam family "Bacterial small subunit ribosomal RNA", at positions 28 to 507 of the family's 1533-position model. The record is from RNAcentral.
GAUGAACGCUGGCGGCGUGCCUAAUACAUGCAAGUCGAGCGAACGGACGAGAAGCUUGCUUCUCUGAUGUUAGCGGCGGACGGGUGAGUAACACGUGGAUAACCUACCUAUAAGACUGGGAUAACUUCGGGAAACCGGAGCUAAUACCGGAUAAUAUUUUGAACCGCAUGGUUCAAAAGUGAAAGACGGUCUUGCUGUCACUUAUAGAUGGAUCCGCGCUGCAUUAGCUAGUUGGUAAGGUAACGCCUUACCAAGGCAACGAUGCAUAGCCGACCUGAGAGGGUGAUCGGCCACACUGGAACUGAGACACGGUCCAGACUCCUACGGGAGGCAGCAGUAGGGAAUCUUCCGCAAUGGGCGAAAGCCUGACGGAGCAACGCCGCGUGAGUGAUGAAGGUCUUCGGAUCGUAAAACUCUGUUAUUAGGGAAGAACAUAUGUGUAAGUAACUGUGCACAUCUUGACGGUACCUAAUCAGAAAGCCACGGCUAACUACGUG